This 301-nucleotide ribosomal RNA is filed under the name uncultured bacterium. Its description in RNAcentral is "partial 16S ribosomal RNA". It matches the Rfam family "Bacterial small subunit ribosomal RNA", at positions 509 to 807 of the family's 1533-position model. The record is from RNAcentral.
CAGUCGCCGCGGGAAUACGGAGGGUGCAAGCGUUAUCCGGAUUCACUGGGUUUAAAGGGUGCGUAGGCGGGCAGGUAAGUCAGUGGUGAAAUCUUCGAGCUUAACUCGGAAACUGCCGUUGAUACUAUCUGUCUUGAAUAACGUUGAGGUGAGCGGAAUAUGUCAUGUAGCGGUGAAAUGCUUAGAUAUGACAUAGAACACCGAUUGCGAAGGCAGCUCACUAAACGCUCAUUGACGCUGAGGCACGAAAGCGUGGGGAUCAAACAGGAUUAGAUACCCCCGUAGUCCCUGUCUCUUAUAC